UUCGCUAAGGAUUCAAUGUUCGCAUUGAGCCAACUUAAUUAUGGAAGCUUCUAAUUGAAAAGUCUACCUUUAGAUUAGAUCUCAAAUCAGGCAGGAUUACCCGCUGAACUUAAGCAUAUCAAUAAGCGGAGGAAAAGAAACUAACAAGGAUUCCCCUAGUAGCGGCGAGCGAAGCGGGAAAAGCUCAAAUUUGUAAUCUGGCGUCUACGACGUCCGAGUUGUAAUCUCGAGAAGUGUUUUCCGUGAUAGACCGCAUACAAGUCUCUUGGAACAGAGCGUCAUAGUGGUGAGAACCCAGUACACGAUGCGGAUGCCUAUUACUUUGUGAUACACUUUCGAAGAGUCGAGUUGUUUGGGAAUGCAGCUCAAAUUGGGUGGUAAAUUCCAUCUAAAGCUAAAUAUUGGCGAGAGACCGAUAGCGAACAAGUACCGUGAGGGAAAGAUGAAAAGCACUUUGGAAAGAGAGUUAACAGUACGUGAAAUUGUUGGAAGGGAAACACAUGCAGCCAGACUUGCUAUUCGGGGCAACUCGAUUGGCAGGCCCGCAUCAGUUUUUCGGGGCGGAAAAGCAUAGAGAGAAGGUAGCAAUUUCGGUUGUGUUAUAGCUCUUUAUUGGAUUCGCCCUGGGGGACUGAGGAACGCAGCGUGCUUUUAGCAUAAGCUUCGGCU
Molecule: ribosomal RNA, 669 nt
Filed under: Sporobolomyces roseus
Lineage: Eukaryota; Fungi; Basidiomycota; Microbotryomycetes; Sporidiobolales; Sporidiobolaceae
Description: eukaryotic LSU rRNA
Rfam family: Eukaryotic large subunit ribosomal RNA (bases 77-669)
Source: RNAcentral